This 273-nucleotide long non-coding RNA is filed under the name Mytilus galloprovincialis (Mediterranean mussel). The record is from RNAcentral. Lineage: Eukaryota; Metazoa; Mollusca; Bivalvia; Mytilida; Mytilidae.
UCAUGAUAUCUUUAAAAACAACGAGGGGGGACCAUGUCGAAAAAAAACAAUAAAAGGGAGAUAACUUCUAAAGGGGAUGAUGAAAUCCUACACAGCCUCAUCUGGUAAUACUUCAUGAUGAAGUCUACCGAUGGUCCAUAUUUGGUCUUGAUAACUCCAAUAGAAACGAGGGGAGGCCAUGUCAAACAAAUGCUGGAUGAAAAAAAAAAAAAAAAAAAAAAACAUGAGAAAAACAAUAAGGUCUUUCCUCGCGUAGAGGAAAGACCUUAAAUA